CCCAGUGCACCCCCGACCCCUCAGGCUAUGAGGAGCUGGCUGUUAAAUGAGAUAAGGAAGGAGAGGCAAACCCUGGGAGGCAGGGCAGUGUUUCUUUUUCUGCACACCAAUGACUCAGCUGUGAUAACUCCCUCCGGGGUAGCAGCAGCACAGUCCCACCCAGCCUGAGGGCUCACCUCUGCUGAUGGGCCAUCAUGGACUGAAUGGCCCCAGCACAAUGGGCAGCUGCAAGGACUGAGACCAUCAAGGCUCCCAAAAUAUCCCAUGACUCCCAGGAUGACAUCGUUCCAUUGUGAAACUGCCCGCCCUGGGGGAGGGGCUGAGCGUUCCCACCUGAACCUGAGCAUAUAAAAUCUGAGUUUGGGGCCUUCUGGCAACACUUAACAGAUCCAGGGCAGGAGCAGAACUCCAACAGGACUGUGACCACUGCUGUUGACAAGACUGCUCCCAUCACUUGGACAGGACUGUGUCCACCACUCUGACCAACAGGAUUUCCCACUCCCAAACCUUGGCCAGAUGGAGGAGGAGGCUGUGAGGAAGAGGAAGAUGCCCCGGAACACCCAGGCAGACAAGGAGCUGAGGACAGAGCCCAGGG
Molecule: long non-coding RNA, 595 nt
Organism: Corvus hawaiiensis (hawaiian crow)
Lineage: Eukaryota; Metazoa; Chordata; Aves; Passeriformes; Corvidae
Exons: 3
Source: RefSeq, a predicted model, not a curated record